Molecule: long non-coding RNA, 254 nt
Filed under: Lathyrus oleraceus (garden pea)
Lineage: Eukaryota; Viridiplantae; Streptophyta; Magnoliopsida; Fabales; Fabaceae
Description: Pisum sativum (pea) long non-coding RNA (PSAT_LNC015416)
Source: RNAcentral
UUUUUUGCAGUCUUUUUUGAUGCCAUGAUGUAAUUUUUUGGGCUCUUUACGAGUUCUCUGGAUUUCUGAUUAUCUCAGCUAAUGUAGUUGUGUAUAAUUAUGGUUAUGUACCACCUGACAAUUAUGUUUUAACAUUUUAUAUGUUUUAACAUCCUUUGUGACAUUCUCUGCUGGACUGAUUGACAUUUAUUUUGUCUAAUUGGUCACUUUGGUCUAUUUUGACUAAAAAGGGGGAGAAGUUAAUAUGUGGAGAG